GGGGAAUGAGAAAGAAACACUCAAUUGAACAAUAUGAUCGGAGGCUGCUUGCCUUGAGACACACUACUCUUCUCCGACCCCAAGCCAUUCAUUGAAGCUUUUAACAGGUUCAGAGAUUUGGUCCAUUAUCAUCAUGGCAGAGAGCAUGGCAGCAAGAUAUGGUGCUGGAGAAGUAACUGAGAGAUAAACCCUGAUCUGCAGGAAAAGAGAGAGCAAGUCUGGACCUGGCAUACACUUUUAUAUGUUCAAGCCCCACCCUCAGUGUUACACAAGGCCAUAUCUCCUAAUCCUUUCAAAUAGAGCACUCCUCGGUGACUACUCAUUCAAAUCUAUGAGCCUUUGGGGAGAUAUUCUUAUUCAAACCUCCACAAUUAACAUCCUUAAUUUCAUUCAUGACAAGUAAAAUUCUGCCCCAGUUUCUCUAUGCAGAUAGUUAUCAAAAAGCACAAUAUAAUUUUAAGGUAAAAUUGUAAAUUAUUUAUUCUUAAUAUAAACAUAAACAAUGAA
Long non-coding RNA from Mastomys coucha (southern multimammate mouse), 507 nucleotides. RefSeq lists it as uncharacterized. The record is from RefSeq and is a predicted model, not a curated record. The transcript is spliced from 2 exons. Lineage: Eukaryota; Metazoa; Chordata; Mammalia; Rodentia; Muridae.